Molecule: ribosomal RNA, 432 nt
Filed under: uncultured bacterium
Lineage: Bacteria
Description: bacterial SSU rRNA
Rfam family: Bacterial small subunit ribosomal RNA
Source: RNAcentral
GAACGCGAAGAACCUUACCAAGUCUUGACAUCCUUUGACCACUCUAGAGAUAGAGCUUUCCCUUCGGGGACAGAGUGACAGGUGGUGCAUGGUUGUCGUCAGCUCGUGUCGUGAGAUGUUGGGUUAAGUCCCGCAACGAGCGCAACCCUUAUUACUAGUUGCCAGCAUUGAGUUGGGCACUCUAGUGAGACUGCCGGUGACAAACCGGAGGAAGGUGGGGAUGACGUCAAAUCAUCAUGCCCCUUAUGACUUGGGCUACACACGUGCUACAAUGGAUGGUACAACGAGCAGCGAACUCGCGAGGGUAAGCGAAUCUCUUAAAGCCAUUCUCAGUUCGGAUUGUAGGCUGCAACUCGCUACAUGAAGCCGGAAUCGCUAGUAAUCGCGGAUCAGCACGCCGCGGUGAAUACGUUCCCGGGUCUUGUACACACC